RNAcentral lists this ribosomal RNA (508 nucleotides) under uncultured Staphylococcus sp. RNAcentral's name for it is "bacterial SSU rRNA". It matches the Rfam family "Bacterial small subunit ribosomal RNA", at positions 17 to 507 of the family's 1533-position model. Lineage: Bacteria; Bacillati; Bacillota; Bacilli; Caryophanales; Staphylococcaceae. The record is from RNAcentral.
UCCUGGCUCAGGAUGAACGCUGGCGGCGUGCCUAAUACAUGCAAGUCGAGCGAACAGACGAGGAGCUUACUCCUCUGACGUUAGCGGCGGACGGGUGAGUAACACGUGGAUAACCUACCUAUAAGACUGGGAUAACUUCGGGAAACCGGAGCUAAUACCGGAUAACAUGUUGAACCGCAUGGUUCAACAGUGAAAGACGGUCUUGCUGUCACUUAUAGAUGGAUCCGCGUCGCAUUAGCUAGUUGGUAAGGUAACGGCUUACCAAGGCAACGAUGCGUAGCCGACCUGAGAGGGUGAUCGGCCACACUGGAACUGAGACACGGUCCAGACUCCUACGGGAGGCAGCAGUAGGGAAUCUUCCGCAAUGGGCGAAAGCCUGACGGAGCAACGCCGCGUGAGUGAAGAAGGUCUUCGGAUCGUAAAACUCUGUUAUUAGGGAAGAACAAAUGUGUAAGUAACUAUGCACGUCUUGACGGUACCUAAUCAGAAAGCCACGGCUAACUACGUG